RNAcentral lists this ribosomal RNA (468 nucleotides) under uncultured bacterium. Its description in RNAcentral is "partial 16S ribosomal RNA". It matches the Rfam family "Bacterial small subunit ribosomal RNA", at positions 28 to 507 of the family's 1533-position model. The record is from RNAcentral.
GAUGAACGCUGGCGGCGUGCUUAACACAUGCAAGUCGAACGGAAAGGCCCAAGCUUGCUUGGGUACUCGAGUGGCGAACGGGUGAGUAACACGUGGGUGAUCUGCCCUGCACUUCGGGAUAAGCCUGGGAAACUGGUUCUAAUACCGGAUAGGACGAUGGUUUGGAUGCCAUUGUGGAAAGUUUUUUCGGUGUGGGAUGAGCUCGCGGCCUAUCAGCUUGUUGGUGGGGUAAUGGCCUACCAAGGCGUCGACGGGUAGCCGGCCUGAGAGGGUGUACGGCCACAUUGGGACUGAGAUACGGCCCAGACUCCGACGGGAGGCAGCAGUGGGGAAUAUUGCACAAUGGGCGCAAGCCUGAUGCAGCGAGGCCGCGUGGGGGAUGACGGCCUUCGGGUUGUAAGCUCCUUUCGCUAGGGACGAAGCGUUUUUGUGACGGUACCUGGAGAAGAAGCACCGGCUAACUACGUG